This 613-nucleotide ribosomal RNA is filed under the name Brevibacterium sp. CBU006A.F. Its description in RNAcentral is "bacterial SSU rRNA". It matches the Rfam family "Bacterial small subunit ribosomal RNA", at positions 62 to 684 of the family's 1533-position model. Lineage: Bacteria; Bacillati; Actinomycetota; Actinomycetes; Micrococcales; Brevibacteriaceae. The record is from RNAcentral.
UCGAACGCUGAAGCCUGGUGCUUGCACCGGGUGGAUGAGUGGCGAACGGGUGAGUAACACGUGAGUAACCUGCCCCUGACUUCGGGAUAAGCCCGGGAAACUGGGUCUAAUACCGGAUACGACCAUCGGACGCAUGUCUGGUGGUGGAAAGUUUUUUCGGUUGGGGAUGGGCUCGCGGCCUAUCAGUUUGUUGGUGAGGUAAUGGCUCACCAAGACGACGACGGGUAGCCGGCCUGAGAGGGCGACCGGCCACACUGGGACUGAGACACGGCCCAGACUCCUACGGGAGGCAGCAGUGGGGAAUAUUGCACAAUGGGGGAAACCCUGAUGCAGCGACGCAGCGUGCGGGAUGACGGCCUUCGGGUUGUAAACCGCUUUCAGCAGGGAAGAAGCGCAAGUGACGGUACCUGCAGAAGAAGUACCGGCUAACUACGUGCCAGCAGCCGCGGUAAUACGUAGGGUACGAGCGUUGUCCGGAAUUAUUGGGCGUAAAGAGCUCGUAGGUGGUUGGUCACGUCUGCUGUGGAAACGCAACGCUUAACGUUGCGCGUGCAGUGGGUACGGGCUGACUAGAGUGCAGUAGGGGAGUCUGGAAUUCCUGGUGUAGCGGUGA